AUAACAUUCUUUGUUUUCAUUUUAAUUAACUUGGCGAUGUUGCCUAAAUUGUCUAGAAAUAGUGCAACGUAUAUCGUCCACGUAUAUCCUCGCUGGAUUCCAAUGGCAUGAUCACAUGAGCCAUUCAUCAUAAACAUUGUAGUGCUAAUGUGCUGAUAGUAUGCAACAGUUUACGUUGAGGUUGUGAAUUUUUUUUUUUUUUGAAAAAUUCAAUUGCCAUCGUAUCGAAUCUAGUGAUCGUUGUGAAAGAAAACCAAGCAAUUUUAUAUUUUGAAAGGAAAGAAAAUGCCAAAAAGUGUUACAGUUUUGAUUGAUGUGAAGAAGUUCAUCAAUUUUAUCCAUUUCAUCGAUUUUCUUCGAAUUAAAAGGAGAAAAAUAUAUCUAAAGUGCAUUCUUUUUGAAAAAGUGAAAGAAGAAAUCUGCGAAAUUUAUGAAAGUAAAAAGUGAAAAAGUGAAUCAAAUUCAAUACAACAUAUUUAUUGUGGAAAAUAUGAAAAAUAUGGCAAAAAAAAUAUAAAAAGUAUCUUCGACAUAUUUGGGAUUACUUCUGAAGGAUUACAUUUUUUGAAUGAUCAAGUUGUCCAUGUCGAGGUAAUGGAAUAUUCGCUCCAAUAUUUCCGUCGGUAAAUUUUCGAGGUGAUAUGGUCAUCGCAUAUAGUCGUCAAUUGGUGUCUCAACGUUCGCGUACAUAGUGCUCCUUUUAGCUGCGGUAUGCGGUCGAGAAUGUUGUUUCCAGUGAUUUGUCUAACGGAAUCUGUGAAAGAAUAUGGACAACGAUGCAAUGGAUAAUUUGACGGUGGUAUCACCGGGGAUGCAAACAAUGGCGACAUUCUUAUACAUACGUCUUCUUCAUCCCUGAAAGUGUUUCCAUGGAUUUCCACAAUACGCAAUGCGCAAGACAGAAAAUCAUUGAAUGUUCAG
This is a long non-coding RNA of Sitodiplosis mosellana (orange wheat blossom midge), 921 nucleotides long. RefSeq lists it as uncharacterized. The transcript is spliced from 3 exons. The record is from RefSeq and is a predicted model, not a curated record. Lineage: Eukaryota; Metazoa; Arthropoda; Insecta; Diptera; Cecidomyiidae.